This 409-nucleotide ribosomal RNA is filed under the name bacterium. RNAcentral describes it as "partial 16S ribosomal RNA". It matches the Rfam family "Bacterial small subunit ribosomal RNA", at positions 355 to 776 of the family's 1533-position model. The record is from RNAcentral.
UGGGGAAUAUUGCACAAUGGGCGAAAUCCUGAUGCAGCGACGCCGCGUGAGGGAUGACGGCCUUCGGGUUGUAAACCUCUUUCAGUAGGGACGAAGCGCAAGUGACGGUACCUGCAGAAGAAGCACCGGCUAACUACGUGCCAGCAGCCGCGGUAAUACGUAGGGUGCGAGCGUUGUCCGGAAUUACUGGGCGUAAAGAGCUCGUAGGCGGUUUGUCACGUCGUCUGUGAAAUCCUAGGGCUUAACCCUGGACGUGCAGGCGAUACGGGCUGACUUGAGUACUACAGGGGAGACUGGAAUUUCUGGUGUAGCGGUGGAAUGCACAGAUAUCAGGAAGAACACCGAUGGCGAAGGCAGGUCUCUGGGUAGUAACUGACGCUGAGGAGCGAAAGCAUGGGUAGCGAACAGG